CAUGAUGAACGCUAGCGGCGCGCUUACGCAUGCAAGUCGAGCGAUGAUGCUCCCUUCGGGGAGUACAUCAGCGGCAGACGGGUGAGUAACACGUAGAUAACCUGCCCUCAAGACGGGGACAACCGGUGGAAACAGCGGCUAAUACCCGAUAUGCUCACAGGAUCGGGAGAUCGAGUGAGGAAAGGCUUUGGUGCUUGAGGAGGGAUCUGCGGCCCAUCAGCUAGUUGGUGAGGUAACGGCUCACCAAGGCGAAGACGGGUAGGGGGUGUGAGAGCAUGGCCCCCCACAAUGGGACUGAGACACGGCCCAUACUCCUACGGGAGGCAGCAGCGGGGAAUAUUGCGCAAUGGACGGAAGUCAGACGCAGCGACGCCGCGUGGGUGAGGAAGGCCUUCGGGUUGUAAAGCCCUUUUCAGGGGAGCGAGAAAGGACGGUACCCUUGGAAUAAGCGUCGGCUAACUACGUGCCAGCAGCCGCGGUAAGACGUAGGACGCAAGCGUUAUCCGGAUUUACUGGGCGUAAAGCGCCUGUAGGCGGUCAAGUAAGUCGGAUGUGAAAGCCCCGUGCUCAACGCGGGGAAGCCAUUCGAUACUGCGUGACUAGAGAACGGCAGAGGGAAACGGAAUUUCUGGUGUAGCGGUAAAAUGCGCAGAGAUCAGAAAGAACACCGAUGGCGAAGGCAGUUUCCUAGGCCGCAUCUGACGCUGAGAGGCGAAAGCUAGGGGAGCAAACCGGAUUAGAGACCCUGGUAGUCCUAGCUGUAAACGAUGGAUGCUAUGUGUGGGNCGGAAAGGUCCGUGCCGUAGUUAACGCGAUAAGCAUUCCGNCUGGGGAGUACGGCCGCAAUGCUAAAACUCAAACGAAUUGACGGUGACCCGCACAAGCAGCGGA
Molecule: ribosomal RNA, 891 nt
Filed under: uncultured organism
Description: bacterial SSU rRNA
Rfam family: Bacterial small subunit ribosomal RNA
Source: RNAcentral